AGAGUUUGAUCCUGGCUCAGAAUCAACGCUGGCGGCGUGCCUAACACAUGCAAGUCGAACGAGAAAGUGGAGCAAUCCAUGAGUAAAGUGGCGCACGGGUGAGUAACACGUGACUAACCUACCUUUUUGUGGGGGAUAACCUAGGGAAACCUGGGCUAAUACCGCAUAAUACCUACGGGUCAAAGCAGCAAUGCGCAGAAAGAGGGGGUCGCGGCCGAUUAGCUAGUUGGCGGGGUAAUGGCCCACCAAGGCAGUGAUCGGUAUCCGGCCUGAGAGGGCGCACGGACACACUGGAACUGAAACACGGUCCAGACUCCUACGGGAGGCAGCAGUGGGGAAUUUUGCGCAAUGGGGGAAACCCUGACGCAGCAACGCCGCGUGGAGGAUGAAGUCCCUUGGGACGUAAACUCCUUUCGAUCGGGACGAUAAUGACGGUACCGGAAGAAGAAGCCCCGGCUAACUUCGUGCCAGCAGCCGCGGUAAUACGAGGGGGGCAAGCGUUGUUCGGAAUUAUUGGGCGUAAAGGGUGCGUAGGUGGUUCGGCAAGUCUUGUGUGAAAUCUUCAGGCUCAACUUGAAGUCUGCACAAGAAACUGCCGGGCUUGAGUAUGGGAGAGGUGAGUGGAAUUUCCGGUGUAGCGGUGAAAUGCGUAGAUAUCGGAAGGAACACCUGUGGCGAAAGCGGCUCACUGGACCAUUACUGACACUGAGGCACGAAAGCUAGGGGAGCAAACAGGAUUAGAUACCCUGGUAGUCC
This 756-nucleotide ribosomal RNA is filed under the name uncultured bacterium. RNAcentral's name for it is "bacterial SSU rRNA". It matches the Rfam family "Bacterial small subunit ribosomal RNA", at positions 8 to 796 of the family's 1533-position model. The record is from RNAcentral.